RNAcentral lists this ribosomal RNA (485 nucleotides) under uncultured bacterium. Its description in RNAcentral is "bacterial SSU rRNA". It matches the Rfam family "Bacterial small subunit ribosomal RNA", at positions 8 to 518 of the family's 1533-position model. The record is from RNAcentral.
AGAGUUUGAUUCUGGCUCAGGAUGAACGCUGGCGGCGUGCCUAACACAUGCAAGUCGAGCGAUUUCUAGGAGAAGAGCGGCGGACGGGUGAGUAACGCGUGGGUAACCUGCCUCAUACACAUGGAUAACAUACCGAAAGGUAUGCUAAUACAGGAUAACAUAAGAGAUUCACAUGGAUUUCUUAUCAAAGCUCCGGCGGUAUGAGAUGGACCCGCGUCUGAUUAGCUAGUUGGUAAGGUAACGGCUUACCAAGGCGACGAUCAGUAGCCGACCUGAGAGGGUGAUCGGCCACAUUGGAACUGAGACACGGUCCAAACUCCUACGGGAGGCAGCAGGUGGGGAAUAUUGCACAAUGGGCGAAAGCCUGAUGCAAGCAACGCCGCGUGAGUGAUGAAGGCCUUCGGGUACGUAAAACUCUGUCCUCAAGGAAGAUAAUGACGGUACUUGAGGAGGAACGCCCCGGCUAACUACGUGCCAGCAGCUGC